Molecule: long non-coding RNA, 1640 nt
Organism: Mus musculus (house mouse)
Lineage: Eukaryota; Metazoa; Chordata; Mammalia; Rodentia; Muridae
Product: RIKEN cDNA 4833413N01 gene
Exons: 2
Source: RefSeq, a predicted model, not a curated record
CCCACCUUGAUGAUAAUGGACUGAACCUCUGAAACUGAGGUGCUCCUGAAUGACUUCUGAAGGACUUUAUCUCUGCAUGUGAACAACUUCAACUUCUGCACAACUGUCACAUCCAUGCCAUAUGCUGUGAUAUUUCAAUACACACAUACUGUGUUCCGUAUUUUUUUUUUUUUUUGGUCUAUUUGUCACAAGCUAAGAUCAUCUGGGAAGAGGGAACCUCAGCUGAGAAAAUCCCUCCACCAGACUGGUCUGCAGGCAAGUCUACGAGACAUUUUCUUAACUGAUGAAGGUUGUGCGAGGGGACAGUCUAUGGGUGAUGCCACCCCUGGGCAGGUGGUCCUGGGUCGGAUGCAAAAGCAAGCUGAAGGCUGUGCACAGGUAUACAUAUCUUUAUCCCAGCAUUUAGGAGGCAGCAGCAGGCAUCUAGAGGUGAGUUUGAGACCAGCUUGGUCCAAGCCAGCCAAGCAGGCUGAGAAAGCCAAAAGCAGUGUUCUGCAUGGCUCUGCUUCAGGUCCCACCUCCACUCUCCUGUGUUGAGCUCCGGUACUAGCUUUUCCUCAUGAGGGACUAUAAGCUCUCUAUUCUGUUCAUUUUUUAAAAAAAAAUUUUUUUUGAUAGAUGCUAACAAUCUAUUCUCUAAAUACUAUCUCUGAGCUUGUUUAAUUCUAUUACAAGUAUUAUAUACUACAUCACAUUCAAAUUUCCCUCCAGCACAUAAGUCCAGGGCACCAAUGUCCUUACCACAUGAGCCAUCUUGCUGGUCCUGCUCUGUAGUUUUACAUUAACUUUUGUUUUUGUAUUGCUAGGGAUCCAUCCUAGGUGACCUACAUCACCACUGAAUGUCACCACUAGCCCUGGGGGCACAGUUUUGCUCUCCAAUUACGUAUAAAACCAUGGAGUGCCUUUGUCUCUUUUUGUGCAUGACCUUUAAAAACUUAUUUCUUUAUUUUGAGAUACAUUGUCUCAUUUAUCUUUGUAGCACUGGCCAGCCAGCCUGGAAUUUACUACUAUGUAAUCCAUAGACACCUUGAAUUUGUGGCAAGCCUCUUGUCUCUGCCUCCCAAGGGCCAGGAUUAUAAGAGUGUGGGAGCUCCCACACCCCACUGAAAGAUCUGUUUUUAUGUCAAGGUCACAUUGUUUGGGUUUUACAGUCUUGUAAUUUGUUUUGUGAUGUUUGGUGUUUGAAAGAGGGUCUUGCUUUAUAGCCUCAAACUAACCAUCCUCCUAUUUCAGCUUCUAAAUGCUCCUAUUAAAGGUAUGUCCUUGGUUGUAUGAUUUGAAACCAGGCUUGUGAUUCCCUCCCCUUUAUUUUCUUUGCUAAGGACUGGUUUAGCAUCGGGGGGUGGGGGGCUUUGUGGUGUUAUAUGAAUUUUUGGAGUUUCUUUUUUCAUAUAUAUGAAGACUAUCAUUGGUAUUUUUAUAGAAAUUACUUUUGUUUAUUUUUUUUAAACAAACCAAUUAAAAAACCAGGGUUUUGCAUUGUAGCCCUGGGUGGCUUUGAACUCAUGAGCCUCCUGUCUCAUCCAAGUACUCAGAUUACAGUGUGCAGUGCCAUGCUGGGAUUUUUGCUUAGUUUUUAAAUUAGACCAUCUGUGUCAGUUGUAGUUUUGUUGCUGUGAUAAACAUUUAAGAGAACAAUC